This 248-nucleotide ribosomal RNA is filed under the name uncultured Oscillospiraceae bacterium. RNAcentral describes it as "partial 16S ribosomal RNA". It matches the Rfam family "Bacterial small subunit ribosomal RNA", at positions 524 to 771 of the family's 1533-position model. Lineage: Bacteria; Bacillati; Bacillota; Clostridia; Eubacteriales; Oscillospiraceae. The record is from RNAcentral.
UACGUAGGUUGCAAGCGUUGUCCGGAAUUACUGGGUGUAAAGGGCGUGUAGGCGGGAUUGCAAGUCAGAUGUGAAAUCCCGGGGCUUAACCCCGGAACUGCAUUUGAAACUGUGAUUCUUGAGUAUCGGAGAGGCAAGCGGAAUUCCUAGUGUAGCGGUGAAAUGCGUAGAUAUUAGGAGGAACACCAGUGGCGAAGGCGGCUUGCUGGACGACAACUGACGCUGAGGCGCGAAAGCGUGGGGAGCAA